UGUGGUCUCACCUCAGCCUCCUCUUUUCCAGGCUGAACAGGCCAAGUGACCUCAGCCGUUCCUCAUACAUCUUCCUCUCAAGGCCCUUCACCAUCUUUGUAACCCUUUUCUGGACACUCUCCAGUAGUUUCACAUCCUUUUUGGACUGUGGUGCCCAGAACUGCACAUGGUACUCAGGUGAGGCCACACCAGCGCAGAGUAGAUUGGGACAAUCACUUCCCUCGAUCGACUAGCGAUGCCGUGCUUGAUGCUUGAUUCCAAAUAGGUUUUGUUUUGCCUCUGUUCUGGUGUUUGGAGAGAGACAUCUGUGCAGUCGGACAUGGACCACAUGGCAGCUGAGGUAAAUCCCAUUCAUCUGCCCACAGAGAAAUUCAUCCAACUAGGCAGAGCUCCCUGAGGCUUCUAGUGCUGCUCCAAGAAUGGUUCUCUCAGCUUUCCUUAAGUUUUUCUUUUCUGGUCAAGGAAAACCCCAAAUAAAUGCUACUUGUUCUCUCAGGUUUGUGUGGAAGCGGGGAUUCAUAACUGCUAAUUCCUACUGACUCCUGCUCAGGCCAAAUGCUGCUGUGGGGCCAACUGCACUGGUGAAGUCAGGGCACAAACCGUCUGUCUCCGCACCGGCAGGAUCUGUCCUGCGCUGUGCUGUUACUGGCUGCCAUGAGGGCUGGGGAGCCAGGAGCUGUGGGGGCCACCCCGGGGUGGUGAGACAGGGUCUAGCAGCCAGGGCCUGUCCCACCAUCCCAGCCAUUGAGCAGGGCAGGCUGGGGCAGCCAGGAAUCUCUCAGGUACUUCAGGCUGGCUGUCAUGUGGGAUGGCACUGUGCAGAGUGGUGUCCAUGGAGACGGGGACAGUGUUGUUCGAAGGUGGAUUAUGUUGUUUAGUUUGUAAAUGUAUUGUAGGCUUUGGCAUGUUGAUUUGGUACCCUUUGGCUACUUAGAUGUUUGCCACACCAAGGCUCAUUAUUCCUGGGCUAGGUUCUGUACUGUGAGGAGUGCUGAGCUCUGAAAGAGGAAAGCAGCGCAGAGCAGAGCUCAUGGAGAGUUCUUGUGAGUAUUGUGCAUUGAAGACAGAUACAGAGUUUACUUUAUGUUGGGAUAUUUUUGAACUGG
This 1106-nucleotide long non-coding RNA is filed under the name Anser brachyrhynchus (Pink-footed goose). RNAcentral's name for it is "lncRNA (ENSABRG00000018422.1)". Lineage: Eukaryota; Metazoa; Chordata; Aves; Anseriformes; Anatidae. The record is from RNAcentral.